RNAcentral lists this ribosomal RNA (392 nucleotides) under uncultured Anaerolineaceae bacterium. RNAcentral's name for it is "bacterial SSU rRNA". It matches the Rfam family "Bacterial small subunit ribosomal RNA", at positions 977 to 1378 of the family's 1533-position model. The record is from RNAcentral. Lineage: Bacteria; Bacillati; Chloroflexota; Anaerolineae; Anaerolineales; Anaerolineaceae.
GGGUUUGACAUAGCAGUGGUAGAGAAGCGAAAGCGGACCGACCCUUCGGGGAGCUGUUACAGGUGUUGCAUGGCUGUCGUCAGCUCGUGUCGUGAGAUGUUCGGUUAAGUCCGCUAACGAGCGCAACCCGCGUUGUGUGUUACAAGUGUCACACAAUACCGCCGGUAUUAAGUCGGAGGAAGGUGCGGAUGACGUCAAGUCAGCAUGACCUUUAUAUCCAGGGCUACACACACGCUACAAUGGUCGGCACAAUAGGUUGCCAAGUCGUGAGACGGAGCCAAUCCUCCAAAGCCGGCCUCAGUUCAGAUUGCAGGCUGCAACUCGCCUGCAUGAAGUUGGAGUUGCUAGUAAACGCAGGUCAGCUAUACUGCGUUGAAUACGUUCCCGGGAUU